AGUUUCCCCACUAAACAUACUCUCCUCAUAUUUCCCUCUCAGUUUUAAUUUUUCAUUUUCAUCUUCCCACCAAAAUCUCACAGCCUCCUAAAAUGCCCUAAUUAAGAAUAUUUCCUCACGAUCCAUCUCUUCUUUUCUCUGUGAUUUCUUCUUCUUCUCUAUCUUUGGCUCAUUACUUCUUGAUCACCAUUUUGUAUCGUAACUCAUUGUUACAAGGGCUUCAAACCAGGACUAACAUGUCUUUGUUACUAAGGGCCAAGAAUUUAUGUUGUGCUGUUUAAAACUAAAGGUUUAAAGAUGCACACCAACUGUUCGAUGUAAUGCUUCAACAAAGUUUUCAAGAUGCAGAUUACUGGCCUCUUUCAUGUGAUAUGGACUUAUCCAGUAUGUUGGGAGGGUUGAGAAGGUCGAUAGGCGGUGAAAGAAGAGUGGGUGCUGGUGGUGAUCGGACAAUCCACGAUUGAGAACUUGAUUCCGUAUGACGCAAGUAGUCCGUCCAUUGCAGUGGCUGGCUUACAUCCUAUUAAUUAUGCAUGUCUAUCUUAUCACGAGUAAAAAGGCUGAAUUAGAGUCAGACGAGGUGUUCGCUGAUAUAUCUUUGAUGCCUAAACCUGAUGUUAGUCUACCUUCUGUAUAUCCUUGUGGUAUGCGUGUAGUUAGCAUUUGAUUAAUGGUUUGCUGGCACACUACUGGGAUCAAUGGAAGUUUUGGCACUACGAGAAAUAUGAGCGUUAGCGACGACCUUUUUAGCGGCGACACCAAGCAUGUCGUCGCUAAUGAUCACAAUCUGAAGCGCUCACAUAACAAAGGAACUUCCGCCUUAGGUCACCUUUUGCUUAUUAGACACGCCUCGUAAACACUUUUUAAAACUAACAUAUAGUAGAAUAAGAAAAAUAAUUAUUUUCAUAUGUAUUUUUCUAUAAUAUAUUAGUCUAUAUUAGUCAUUCUGGACACGGGUACCUGCAACCUGGAUUACGGAAGAGAGACGAAAGGAUUACACACAUGGAAAUCGAAGGAGAGAGACAAGAAGGAGGUGAAUGGCAGUGAGUGGCAGGUGACGGGCGGUGGGCGAAGAUGCUGAAGCAGCUGGUUGUAUCUGGUUAUAGUUUGUUGCUCCUUUUCUUUAUCACACUUUAUUUUUAUGUUAAGUUAUUAAAAUAUUAAUCAAAAUGAUCCUUGCUACAUAGGUGAUAAGUUUUAAAUGCGAUAACGUUAGUGGUAAAUAUGAAAUUGAUGAUAGGUGGUGGAGCAAUACAAGUUGGGAUAAGAAGUUACCCUUUGCUCGUGCAGAUUGGUGGAGUUUUAUAUGUGGACAUAGCCGGGUUCGAGGCGUGGACAUACUCAAGGUCCGGCUCUUGUUUCUAAGGCGUUUUAUCUUCAAUUUCGGUCAAUUACUCCUGGUGUUAGAAAUGGAACACAGGUAUUUUUUAUUCCUAUGUGCAAAAAAGUGACUCUUCUUUAAAUUGUGUUAAUCUAGAUGUUAUAGGUGGCACAAUGGGCACACCGGGUAACGGGUCAAAACGGGUUCCGAGUGGCAAGAGGUGUACAAUAAAAGCCGGUUUUAGGGCCGAAACCGGGACCGGUUAUGCUAGUUUGGGUUCCCAUUGUGAAAACCGGUUAAAAAACCGAACCGGUUUUUUUUAAAAUCGGUUUUUUCCCACACAACAAUAACCUGUUCGGUUAAAAACCGACCGGUUAGAAAAAAACCGAUUUGUAGACCUCUCUACGGGUGGCCUGCAAACACUUUUAUGUCUAUUUUCUUAAAAAGUGUAAUAACUAACUAAUGCGUUUUUAAAAAUAGAAAACAAUUUGAUACUAAUUAUUAUAAUUUGAAAUAUAUAUUUAUUAUAUCAGUUAAAAAUUGUAUAAAUAAUGGGCUCGUUUAGGCUCCCGAGCCGGUUUAAGCAUCACAAGUCAAGCUUGAGCUCGUUUAAGCCCGGCUCGUUUCAAGCUCUUUUUCGAGUCGAUCUUGAGUAGGUCAGCUCAUUUACAUCUCUAUCGACCACCCAUUAUUCCUCACGACCCUCAUAAUUUUCUGUUAACUUAAUAUAAUAGUGGACUGGGAAAAACAUCGUGUCAGUGACACUAAUAUGGUUAGGCGAUUCUAAUUGCUUUUGAAGAAUGCCAAGCUUCAUCAGCUCGUUAUAGAGCAUAAAAACAAAUAUUUAUGUGUAUGCUACUAGACAGGAGUGGCUUUAUUCUCACUUGAAAAUUUAUCCCUUUUUACUCUUAGCUUGCCUUUUCUUCUCGGUUUUCUUUUUGUUCACUUUUUCUGUUUUGCAGAUUGAGCCAAUCCCAAGCAGAAAUCUGCCUCCUAGGUUUUAACCAAAUACAUCUCGCAGUGUGAGCGGUUUACAUAUGAUUUUUUAGUUUGUUAUUCUCCUUUUCAUAUGCAUGUUCAAGCAUGACGAAUGCCUUAGUAUGUCCCUGGUAACCAAGUAAGUGUUUUUAUAAUUUGCUAUAUCUUACCAAUUUGUUUUUCUCGUCCCCCAAUACACACAGUACUGAGGUUUUUAGUUGUGAUAUGCAAAAGUGUUAACUGUAGGAUGGCUCUAUGUUUUAUGUCUACUGGAAAUUGUGUAUUAUUCUGUAGCUAAAUGUGUUUUCUUUUUAAUUUCUACUUUUAUUUUUGAGAAAAUGCUGGUACGUUGGGAACAUCCAUAUACAGAUGACGGGACAAUUUCUUCAGGAGGUUUUUGCAAGCUAAAGUUGUGAAAAAGCAGUCGUUUGAAACUCAUUAAGUGAAUAAGGAGGAUCAUGAAAGAAAAAAAGUUGACCUUGAAGCUAUACCACAAGAUAUUGAUAUCCAGCGACAAGACUUGGAAGAUCUGUGUGGAAUGUUACGAAACAACUACAAGUUGAAGAUCAAGAUGCGUAGAAUGUUUUAGUUACUCUUUAUUAUUGUAAUUGACACUUUGGUAUUGACUUUUUUUGUUAUUUGAGUUUGGAAAAGUAUGUUAAGGUACACUAUUUGACUAGCAAUGAUAUUUGUGUUAAUAUUGUU
Molecule: long non-coding RNA, 3004 nt
Organism: Helianthus annuus (common sunflower)
Lineage: Eukaryota; Viridiplantae; Streptophyta; Magnoliopsida; Asterales; Asteraceae
Exons: 5
Source: RefSeq, a predicted model, not a curated record